UUUCCAGACUCCUACGGGAGGCAGCAGUGGGGGAUAUUGCACAAUGGGGGGAACCCUGAUGCAGCGACGCCGCGUGGGUGAAGGAGUAUUUCGGUAUGUAAAGCCCUAUCGGCAGGGAAGAAGAAAGACGGUACCUGACUAAGAAGCCCCGGCUAACUACGUGCCAGCAGCCGCGGUAAUACGUAGGGGGCGAGCGUUAUCCGGAUUCACUGGGUGUAAAGGGAGCGUAGACGGCCAAGCAAGCCAGGGGUGAAAGCCCGGGGCCCAACCCCGGGACUGCCCUUGGAACUGCAUGGCUGGAGUGCGGGAGGGGCAGGCGGAAUUCCUGGUGUAGCGGUGAAAUGCGUAGAUAUUAGGAGGAACACCAGUGGCGAAGGCGUCUUACUGGACCGAAACUGACGUUGAGGCUCGAAAGCGUGGGGAGCAAACAGGAUUAGAUACCCGGGUAAU
This 450-nucleotide ribosomal RNA is filed under the name uncultured bacterium. Its description in RNAcentral is "partial 16S ribosomal RNA". It matches the Rfam family "Bacterial small subunit ribosomal RNA", at positions 328 to 794 of the family's 1533-position model. The record is from RNAcentral.